This 107-nucleotide small nuclear RNA is filed under the name Zalophus californianus (California sea lion). The record is from RNAcentral. Lineage: Eukaryota; Metazoa; Chordata; Mammalia; Carnivora; Otariidae.
GUACUUGCUUCAGUAGCACAUAUACUAAAAUUGGAACAAUACAGAGAAGAUUAGCAUGGCCUCUGUGCAAGCAUUACGUCCAAAUCUGUGAAGAACACUUAAUACCU